Molecule: transfer RNA, 69 nt
Filed under: Ictidomys tridecemlineatus (thirteen-lined ground squirrel)
Lineage: Eukaryota; Metazoa; Chordata; Mammalia; Rodentia; Sciuridae
Description: Spermophilus tridecemlineatus (thirteen-lined ground squirrel) tRNA
Rfam family: tRNA
About the family: Transfer RNA (tRNA) molecules are approximately 80 nucleotides in length.
Source: Rfam by way of RNAcentral
GGGGUUAUAGCUCAGUGGUAGAGCACUCGCCUAGCAGGUGUGAGGCUCUGGGUUCAAUCCUCAGCACCA